RNAcentral lists this ribosomal RNA (219 nucleotides) under uncultured bacterium. RNAcentral describes it as "partial 16S ribosomal RNA". It matches the Rfam family "Bacterial small subunit ribosomal RNA", at positions 524 to 740 of the family's 1533-position model. The record is from RNAcentral.
UACGAAGGGGGCUAGCGUUGCUCGGAAUUACUGGGCGUAAAGCGCUUGUAGGCGGCACGUCAAGUCGCGUGUGAAAUCCCCAGGCUUAACCUGGGAAGUGCGCGCGAAACUGACGAGCUUGAGUGCCGGAGAGGGUCGCGGAAUUCCCGGUGUAGAGGUGAAAUUCGUAGAUAUCGGGAGGAACACCAGUGGCGGAAGGCGGCGACCCUGGACGGACAC